Molecule: ribosomal RNA, 345 nt
Filed under: Triticum aestivum (bread wheat)
Lineage: Eukaryota; Viridiplantae; Streptophyta; Magnoliopsida; Poales; Poaceae
Description: partial small subunit ribosomal RNA
Source: RNAcentral
AUGGUUGAAAAGACCACUAGUUUCAAGAAAAGGGCAAAGGGAAGAAGGGGAACUUCAAGAAGAAACGGCAAGCAAGUUGCUGCUCAAGUGAAGAAGCCCAAGUCUGAUCCUAAGCCUGAGACUAAGUGCUUCUACUGCAAAGGGACUAGUCACUGGAAGCGGAACUGCCCCAAGUAUUUGGCGGAUAAGAAGGAUGGCAAAGUGAACAAAAGUAUAUUUGAUAUACAUGUUAUUGAUGUGUGCUUUACUAGUGUUUAUAGCAACCCUUCGGUAUUUGAUAUUGGUUCAGUUGCUAAGAGUAGUAACUCGAAACAGGAGUUGCAGAAUAAACAGAGACUAGUUAAG